UUUUUUUUUGGUUGUGGAAAAUCGACAGAGUUCCGGAUCAACUUCUCCAUCAAAGUAUAGUUGACAAUAUGAAGAAGUAAACACAUAGUAGGAUAAACACAAAACAUUCAGGGAACCACCAAAUCAGUUAAUCACAUUAUACUUGAGAAAAUCAACGAAGCAGGACAUAAACAAGGAAACGCCUAUCUCAUGUGACUGUUACAAUUGUUACAAAAACCCUACAGCUACAAACUGGAACAAUUGCAGUUGUUACAAGAAGUUAAACUCGAGGAUAAGCACAGAAAAUUCUAGGAGAUCAGACAAGCAAAAAUUUCACAAAAACAAUUCAAGGAUAAGCACAAAAAAUUCACGGAACAGCAAGCAAAAAUCAUCAACCUGUACCAACUCCAUGACGUCAAACUAGAGGAUAGGCAUGAAUGCUCAGCUUUUUACAGAAAGCUUAAAGCAAUACAGAUCAAGGACGAGAUAAGAUAGAAAGGCUUAAGACAAUCAGAGUAGUUCAUCAGGCCAAACUCGAGACAAUCAACAAAGUUCAUGACCAAUUUCACCACCAAAUUAGUCCAGCACGCCAAACUUAAGGAGAUCAACAUGGCUUCAUGACCAAUUUCAGCACCAAAUCAGUUCAUCAUAUGCCAAAUUUGAGGAAAUCAACAGAAUUUCAUGACCAAUUUCACCACCAAAGCAAGUUCAUCAUAUGCCCAACUAGAGGAAACUAACAGAGUUCGCGACCAAGUUCAUCACCAGACCACUGCCUACUCGAUGUAAGACGAUCAACGAAGCAAAACAAGGAAGAAAAGACACCAAACAUGACCACAUCAACAAGGCGUCUCUCACACUCUCGCGCCGGCCAUCCUCCAUGAGCACUACUCGACCUUGACGUGGAAGACGUCCGUGCGGUCCUCCUCCUUGACCUUGAGCAGGGUGACCCAGAGCACGCCAUUCUUCAUCUCGGCAUUGAUCUUGUCCAUCUUGUACGCGUCAGCAGCGGGCACCUCGAUGCGGCGGUUGUACUUCGGCACCGCGGAGUCGUCGUCGUCGCCGUCCCAGGGCUGCUUCUCGCCCUCGCCCUUGAUCACCAGGAUGUUCUUGUCCGCCCGCACCUCCACGUGCUCCUUGGUCAGCCCCGGCAUCGGCACCUUGAGGUACACCGCGUCGUCGUCCUCCUUGGCCACCCAGCGUCCGAGCAGCGACGCCCCAGCCCCAGCAGCAGUGGAGGAGAGGCCGGCCUUCAUCAGAGACAGCAGACGGGCCAUGCUGGUCGGCGGGCCGAGCGAGUCGAUCACGUCUGCAGAAUCAGCACCAAGGAAACCAAAAGCAGAUCAGAAGGCUGAUUUGACUCACGGUGUUGACACUUCAGCACGAACGCAAAGAAACGGCGCGCCACUGGUAGGGAAGGGAAGCAUACCCUGCGAGAAGAAGCUGGGGGUGACGAGGUCGCGGGCGCUGUAGUCGUCGUCGUCGUCGUCGUAGCGGCUGACCUCCUUGGCCUUGGUGUUGUACGGGCGGCGGGCGGCGGUGACGGCGGGGGAGUCGACCGAGCGGAAGGCCACGGGAGCACCGGACUUGAGGAGGCUGGCCGGCGCGGCACNNNNNNNNNNNNNNNNNNNNNNNNNNNNNNNNNNNNNNNNNNNNNNNNNNNNNNNNNNNNNNNNNNNNNNNNNNNNNNNNNNNNNNNNNNNNNNNNNNNNNNNNNNNNNNNNNNNNNNNNNNNNNNNNNNNNNNNNNNNNNNNNNNNNNNNNNNNNNNNNNNNNNNNNNNNNNNNNNNNNNNNNNNNNNNNNNNNNNNNNNNNNNNNNNNNNNNNNNNNNNNNNNNNNNNNNNNNNNNNNNNNNNNNNNNNNNNNNNNNNNNNNNNNNNNNNNNNNNNNNNNNNNNNNNNNNNNNNNNNNNNNNNNNNNNNNNNNNNNNNNNNNNNNNNNNNNNNNNNNNNNNNNNNNNNNNNNNNNNNNNNNNNNNNNGGAGGUGGCUUUGUAAAGGAAGAGCGGGAGGGAUUUCUUGGGGGAGGGGAUGGGGAAACGGGUUUAGAAGGUUCUGGACAGAUCGGUUGGGCUAUCGAGCCUUCCAGAAAGAUCUGGAGGCCACAGCUUUGCGAUUCGUGCUGCUUGAUAUACGAUUAGGGCGACAUGGGUGGUGCUAACUUUUGAUCUGCUCAGCUACGUCGAGCACGACUGAUUUGCUUUUCAAAGUUGGACUAUUUUUGCAAAGAAUUCCUACCGUUUGGUGGACUCGGAUGGAAACAAUAGACAGCUCAAUUGCUUAUGCUAAUACAGUGUCAACCUAAUAACACUGUUUGAUUUGCUAAACUCUGCAUGUUCAGCUUAUACAAGGCACCUAAAUAACCAUACGAAAAUAAUAAAUACGAAGUAAUUGUACUAUAAAACCGUGUUGAGGCUACACAAUCCACCUUUGUAUAAUGACUCACAAAAUCCAAGGUUAUCCUCUCUUUUUUGAAAAUAAUAUUGCGAACGUCUGAUUUGUAACAAAUCCAAAUCCAGCGAACACUCUACCAUGCCACCUGAGGACACCUGAUCACAUGCACGGAUCUUAGCACAAGAAGCCCUGCCACAUCAGAUUUGAAAUUCGUAAGCAGGACAUAAAAGUUGCACGAACGCUCCUAACCAAGCAAAGACACCCACCGGAGACCUGUGAUUGAAUCCCAAAUCCUCCUUUUAUUUUAUUUUUUUACUUUUACAAGGGGGAGAAAAUAUGCACACACAAAAUUGGUACAUGGCAGUUUUUUUUAAAAAGAAUUGGCAGAUUUAUAUAUAAAAAAAGCUAACUUGCCACGUGGCAAAUUUGAAUACCUUUUCGUGAUGCUUCAGAUGUCAAUUUUGUUUUGUACACAUGGAAAAACUUAGAUAAAAAUUCUCAUGGUCCCAUGACAAAUUCAUAACAAUUUUUACUUCCAAACAUAGCAAUUUUAGUCUAUUUUUUUGUAAUGCUACACCAUGGCAAAGCUUUGAGAAUUUUUAUCGAUUAUUUUCAUGGCAAUUUUGGAAUUUGAUUUUCUAUUUUCGCACAUGCCAGUUUUAUUACUAAGAGGAUAGCAAUUUUAUUAUUUUAGAGCAUGGAAAUUUUAUUGUUGAGAGCAUGUCAAUAGUAUUUAUUUUUUGGAUCAUGACAACUUCCUGUGUGUGAUUUCUACGUGUUUUUGAAAAUGAAAAUAUAAAGCAUGGAAAGUUCACUGCGUAUGUCUUUCUAUUAAUUAAUAUGCAAAUUUGCCAUGCAUAAUGUUCUCUGUCUGCAAUUUGGACCACGAAUUUUUGUUAUUGUUUUUUUUAUAAUUUACUAUGGCCUUUUUGCCAUGUACCUAUUUUUCUGGUAUGCUACCAUAGCAUUUUUUUUUGUUGCACUUUGUAAAUUAUGUUGUCUAUGCCUUUUUCUAUAUAAGAACAUAUUCCAAUUUUGGUUGAUGGCAAUUUUUCUAAAAUUAUCAAAUAUUUGGCACAACCCUUUUUUCUGCACCAUAAUUAUCUAGCCAACUUGGGGGUCUCAUGGAAACACCCGUAUAUCGCUACUAAAUAGUUUGCUUGAUCAUCCCCGUCCCAUCGAACGAAUUGUUCGCUCGUGGGUGCCUUCCGUUUUGACGUCCACCAGAUAUUGUGGUACCUUUUUUAAGAAAACACCAAGUAUAUGUCUACCUUCGACCCCCCCCCCCCUUGGCUCACAUGGCCUCUGGUUCGACCAGCCCGGCGUCGGUUCUACAACCUUUUCACGUGAACAUCAGGUGGUCUCGGGUCUAGGCCUCUCAGAUUCACCUAGCUCCUCCCGCUCAUCCUUAGAAGGUGUUGCGUCACCUAGGGCGUCGAGCGCUACGGCACUAGCAGGAGGCUGGCUCGGUGGGGAGACGUUCAUCCGCUUCCUCCCAGGAGCGCAGGAAAAGUUACACCGAAACUUUUUGGCCUCUACUUCAAGUGCUUUCGGGAGGGGCAUAACGAGUUGGAUUGCACCUUUUAUCCCUAGUGCAUCAGUUGCGGCAUCGUCGGCCAUGAUUCGUCACAACGCAAGAGAUCUAGGACCAUGGUUCCUGAGGGGGAGAUCCGUUGGGCAACGUUAGCCAAGAUGUCUAGCGGUGCUCCUGCCUCACUGUCUAUCAGGCUCAUGGGCAGGGUUAUGUUGGAGCCUAAGCAGGAGGCACUGGUGGCGCUAUCCUCCCCAUUUGCGCCCAAGAUCCCUCCCAUGUGGACAUGGGAAUCUUCACUGGCAGGCCGGAGUGAGACCUAUAUCCUCCACCAGUCACCAGUGAUGGAUUGGACAUGGAGCAUGGACUUCGGCUCACCGUGUGGUUUAUGUGGUUGGUGCAAGGCCACCGGUCUCAUGCUCCAAGGCAGACGAGGUGAUUUUUGUUUGGCUGAACAUCCCUAGGAAUCAGUUCUCGGUUCAUUGUUUCCACCUGGAGGAUUUCUUGAUGGUGUUAGCCUCCCGGAGCUCCGCAAUGCGGCCAUUGGGGCAAACCCUAUUAAGCAUGCGGGGUUCAAGCUUUUGAUCAAACCAUUGUUGCAUCAAGCCCAAGCCACAUCCAACCUCUUGCGCCUUCAUGGCAAUUUCUAUGCAGCUCAACAUCCCUAGGCACCAUUUCUCAGUUUAUGAAUGCUACAAUUAAUUAUUUUCAACUCAACAUAGUCCUCUCCCGCAUAUCUAAGCUUUGUACACCAAAUUUAACCUUUUCCUAUUUAAAAUGAUUAUUUCUGUUGUUUAUUCUAAUAUUUGCCAUGUUGUGACAGGAAAAAGGCAUAUAGAAUGAAACUAUCAGCUUUUAGAUCAAGUUUUAUACACGUUUAGAUUGUAAAUUAGGCCACUCUCCUAAUCAAUAUUAAUGUUUCCUUUGAACUACUUGCAUUACUGAAACACUCACUAUCAAUUGAUUUUCCGCAUAUGCAUUGUACAAUGAAUGCCGGCAAUAAUUUUUUGAAAGAUGUGUUCAUGGGUGAUGUGCAGCUCCGCACAAGACUGUAUUCCAUGUGGCACUAUCCAUUCAUUGUUCAGUCUCGCUCUCUGAUAGCCAGGCAACCUCCUGAAGCAAUUAUAGCCAAUCAUCCAUACAAAAAAAAGUGUUCUCUCUUUCCCUGAUCAUUGGGAAGCCAUACAAGCAUUCAAAUAUGCAGGAAAAGGAGACUCUCCCUACGUGAAUGGUGUUGCAUAUCGCUUCACAAUUAAUCUUCUAUAAUCAAAUCUAAUAGAGAUAUGCAGUGAUCAAAGGGUUACAGUCUUUAUGAAAGGUCUUCCUCUGUAUAAAGCAUUGCAACGAGCUCGACCUAAAACCCAUUGUCAUUUCUUCUCUCAUCUUAAAAUAGAAAACAACAUAUAUGCACGCACAGGCUUCAGCACGGGCGCGGCGUGCAAGUCUGAAACAUUUCAGCUAGGCUACAACUUAGACGACAAUCAACUUACCCUGUCGUGGUAUGGACUUGCCCUGCUCCCCCAAGACCAAGACAUUUUUGCUUCUAUGACCAAGAUCGACAAUGGAUGAGGAAAGUGCAUCGAUUUUUCGAGACUCAAGCCUAGUUCUUAGCCAUUGAUGUAGACAUCACUUAUGACGAGAAUUUUGACCGAUGGGCAAAUUGUUGUCGAUCAUAAUUCCUUACGACUCUUGUUCAUCUUUCGAUGCUUUGUUCUCCGAGCUCAGAAAGAUUCUGCUCCGAGCCCAAGAACGUCAAAUUUCGAGUUCGUAUGAAGAAUUGAUAGUCGUUUUACCAAAGAAGGACAGAUUGAAAGGUAGUGUUCUAAACGACCGCACGCGGUCGUUUUAGCGGUCAUUUGACAUGCACCCAACUCCUAAAGUUGCCCUUCCAUACGGGAUUCUUCACCGAUUUUGUCCCCGUUCAAUCCCACGAGAUCCUUAACUCGUAAAGAAGAGAUUGGGAGAGGAUUUGGCUCAUUGAGAGCCCUUGUAUGAGGCCCAUCAAGAGAGGAGGCUAGGGAGGCUCCAUAUAUAUCAUCUACGACCUAAGCCGCCGUCUCUUUCUUGGAUUCCAUCACAUCUCAUUCAUCCACAAGCCAUCUCCAUUCCUGCUCCACACCUAAGAAGAAGGGACAACAAACAAGGGAAGAAGGAGGAGGCUCCACCACCAUGAGCAUCGGCCAUCAGGUCUGUGCCCUCGCGUCGGCACCACCACCAUAGUUGGCGCCCCCGUCUCCAUCAUCCCAGGCGCGACCAUCACCAUCACCAUCAUCAUCAUCAUUGCGCCUUCGUCAUCACCACCAUUCCUUCUCCCUUCACCGGCUUGUAACUUUCCCCUAACCUUCAUGUGUUUGAUUAAGUAGUUGUACUAGUUCUUGAGGAUAUGGUUGAACCCUUUAUGAUAUUUGUUGUGAUCGAAUAUUAGUUGUUCACAAUUCAAGUUAGUGGCCUUCACCACUGUUGAGAGGAGAACGUUUGUGCCUUUGUGUCGUGAAGUAUCUUAUAGUCCUUGUGAUAGUUGGGGAUAUUGGGGUAAUUUGAGGUGACAGUAAAAGCCUCGGUUCCUCGCCUUUGCAAAGUAUUGGGGAAUUACGGAGAACCCUUAGAGAGACCAUGUCCACGGGGCAACCCUUAAUUAUCAUUAGUUGUAACCUUAUGGGGGAGACCAUGAUGGUGGCGUGCGUGGCACGAAGUCUACCUCGAGUAGAACGUGUUAUGUACCCGGCUCCGCCCACUUAUGCAUUUGAUCAGUUACUAGAGGAUAUAAUAGUUCAUAUGUGGUAGUGAUUCCAGAACCCUCGAGAACACCUUACUACUCAAGCAUUGUCCCUACUAACUUAGUGUCUUUUAUUUACUGUAUUUACUAUUCUUGUUAAUAAUUUAGUUAAUUAUUCUUUUUAUCUAGUUUUUCUAGCAACGAUAGAGUAGACUAUUUUCAAACUUCGGUUUGGGUACAUACAUGGCUACAUGAAAGUGACAACGUAGUUGCAGAGUUUGUGGUGUCUUCCUAUUUCCUCCACAUGGGCUCAACACUUAUCACAACAGAAGUGCUACAACAGCUAUGUGCACUUGCAGGCCAUCAAGCAUUUUCUGGCGCCGUUGCCGGGGAGCAUAACGCUUGGUCAUUACUUACCCACUCGCACUUAGUUUAUUUCUGUUUGUUGCUAUUUAUCUUACCGUUUUCCCCCUUAACCCAAAAAUAGAAAAAAAAUAUAUGUCUUGCUUUGAGAUGUGGGACGAAGACAUAGAGGCUGCAAUGGAACGACACUAUGAAACAAAGAGGAUACUACAAGAAUAUUGGAAUACUAACAAAGGUAAGGAAAUGGGUGAGAAAUUUAUGAAACUAGACAUUAUAGCUAAUGAUAUCCGUAAAGGUUGCAUACAGUGCCAAUCUAUUUUCCACAUGAGUUUUUGUUGUAGAGAUCACCCACAUCCGGUUGUGAGAGCAUACAACCGUGAUGAAUAUCCUCCUGAAGAUAUUGAGGUAAUUGGGGAGAUGAUGUUAUUGAUUAGAUCAUUUGAGCUUUUAAAGUGGAUUGACAAGUUUCUCAAAGAAUAUACUUCAGUGACUAAGCAUGAAGACUUUGUGGGGCAGGUUUAUAAAUUUUGUUUAGAUUAUAAUUUUGAUGAAAAUUCUUUAGUUAUGAACUAUGAGAAGCGGAUGUCCGCCAUCUCCCAAGUCAAUAUUUCGUAGGAAAUAACCUUAUGCAGGAACAUGAAGAAAUUAUCAUCGAGCCACAAGAAAAAAAUGUUCAGAAAAUGAUGAUCCAGAGGAUCAUGGAGGGGAAGGACGGAACAACUGUUGUCCAGAAACCCCCACCAAUUGUAAUUGUUUUGACAUAAUUAAUGCGCAGCUUGAUGAGAUGAAGGCUAUGACUUACCUGCAGCUCCUCAUCCUAUUGAUUAUAAAGUUAUUGUGAAGUUGCAACCGCUAAUUUUUCAGACAUCUCCAACUAGCUUGGUGCAUCGGUACUCGCCCAAGAGUGAGUAUGAAUUUACAUAUAUGAUGCCAAUGCACCGUACGAGCGAGUGUACCUUCGACCAAGCUCUGCUAUGAGGUGCUCCAAACCCCGGAUGGAGGUAGGCAUCCAACUCGGGGUUGAUAUCCCUUGGGAUUCGGGUGGAUGACCUUACGGAGCACUGAAGCCUAGCUAUAUGGCUUUAAAGAAAGCACUACCCGGGAGGCUGGGAGGCAAUCUGGAAGUUUGUAGGUGUCUUUCGUAGGUUUGUGUCUUGAGUCUAGAUGGAUUCAUGAUUGCAUUGACACUUUUUUUUUAUUUUGAGUAGUUGCUAUUUGAGUUGGUUUCAUGUGGUUUUCGUAAGUAAAAUUUAUACCAUAUUGGUGGGCUGCAUUUUGUUGCACAUAUGCUCUUAUUUUAUUGCAAUAUUGAUAUUUGCCUAACGCGAGGAGGAAGCACAAAAUUUUUAUGCAGUUUUGCUCCAGGAGAAAAGACGAUGUUCCAUACGACCGCCCCAGUCGUCUGAGCUCAUGGCCACAAGUAAAAGAGGAUCGGAGCAAAAGAAAGCCUAGCGCUCGUACGAGCGGUCGUUUCACCUGGCGACCACAACGAGUGUCUCCACAAAGCGAACGACGACGUUCCAUAUGACCGUAACUGGUCGUUUGAGCACCCAUAUGAAGUCAAAAAUACCUCCAAUUAAUUAUUUUUCGAUGUUCCAGGCCGGCGGGGUAUUUUCUAACCGGCUAUUUGCUUUUUAAUUACUGUUAAUUACCUCUGAAACUUCGUAGCCAAUAAUUCUCUAUAGCAACUAUGUUUUCUUUUCUUUCUUUUUGCCAGUUAUUCGUUCGUAUACCGAAUCGAUGUUUUUAUUUGUGUGUUAUUCGACGGGGUAUCUUCUUCCUCCUUUUGUUAUCUAUACUUGUAGCUACAAAAGUCUAUGUUUCCAUUCAAAUUUAGCAAUUUUUUUCUGAAGGACAUAUAGGAGGACAAAGAUAGUAGAUCAUCCACAGAUCCCCUUUUGUGGCUGCUAAUAGUCGCUCCUUCUUUGCACUUUUCUCUGCAGUUCCUCCUUUGUAAUAAACACACACACACACACACACACACACACACACACACACACACACACACACACACACACACACACACACAUAUAUAUAUAUAUAUAUAUAUAUAUAUAUAUAUAUAUAUAUCUUUUUUCUUCCACAUGUUGUGUACAAUAAACACAAGUAUAGCAUUUAAAUGCCGAUCAGCAGGUCCAACAAGAAAAUCACUAAGGUAUACAGCCUCUCAGCUGCUCAAUCCUCUGAAUAAAUAAAUAGAAAUGGGUGACAAAAUUGGCAAAUCCCACAUGAAAUUUUCAGAUCCUAAAUUAAGCCACUCUCUUUAUAAAUGCUAAAGCUUUCUGCAUGUUUAGCUUGAGCAUAGGUAAGUAAACGAAAUUACCUUUCCAUGAAUGCUAAUAUGCAACAAAUUUUGGUCUACAGCAAUCCAUGAAUGCUACAAUUAAUUAUUUUCAACUCAACAUAGUCCUCUCCUGCAUAUGCAAGCUUUGUACACCAAAUUUAAUUGUUUUCUAUUUAAAAUGAUUAUUUCUGUUGUUUGUUCUAAUAUUUGCCAUGUUGUGACGGGAAAAAGGCAUAUAGAACAAAAGUAACCACUUUUAGAUCAACUUUUAUACACGUCUAGAUCAUAAAUUAGGCCACUGUCCUAAUCAAUAUUAAUGUUUCCUUUGAACUACUUGCAUUACUGAAACACUCACUAUCAAUUGAUUUUUCGCGUAUGCAUUGUACAAUGAAUGCCAGCAAUAAUUUUUUGAAAGAUGUGUUCAUGGGUGAUGCCCAGCUCCGCACAAGACUAUGUGCCAUGUGGCACUAUCCAUUCAUUGUUCAGUCUCGCUCUCUGAUAGCCACGCAACCUCCUGAAGCAAUCAUAGCCAAUCAUCCAUACAAAAAAAGUGUUCUAUGUUUUCCUGAUCAUUGGGAAGCCGUACAAGCAUUCAAAUAUGCAGGAAAAGGAGACUCUCCCUAUGUGAAUGGUGUUGCAUAUCACUUCACAAUUAAUCUUCUACAGUCAAAUCUAAUAGAGAUAUGCAAUGAUCAAAGGGUUACAGUCUUUAUGAAAGGUCUUUCUCUGUAUAAAGCAUUGCAACGAGCUCGAUGUAAAACCCAUUGUCAUUUCUUCUCUCAUCUUAAAAUAAAAAACAACAUAUAUGCACGCACAUGCUUCAGCAUGGGCACGGCGUGCAAGUCUGAAUCAUUUCAGCUAGGCUACAACUUAGACGACAGUCAACUUACCCUGUCGUGGCAUGGAGUUGCCCCGCUCCCCCAAGACCAAGACAUUUUUGCUUCUGUGACCAAGAUCGACAAUGGAUGAGGAAAGCACAUCGAUUUUUCGAGACUCGUGGAACGGGACCGAGUCGCCCCGCCGUCUCUGGCCAAAGCUAUUCACCAUAUCUCGUUGGAAGAAUUGCACACUUUGGGAUACCAUCCAGGACGAUGCCUUGAUUCGUCACCGCUAAGGCCGGCCCCCUCCACCCUUCUGCAGGACUUCAUCGACCUUGGUCACAGCUUGUGGAACUUCACUACCUCCUUGGCCUACAGACGACAGUUCAUGGAUUUGGCACCCUCGCCAUUGCGGUUUGUUGGGAAGACCCCUCUCCCCAAAUGUCGCUUCUUCAUGUGGUUGCGGCUCCACCGUCGGCUGUCCAAGACCUAGCAAGAGUUUGCAGCGGCUACUUGAUGCCCGAACAUCACCCCAGUUGCUUGGGUUCGCUCGAUGGAACUGGCCGAUGCGACCCCGAAUGGGCGUUCAACCUCCUCCAGGUUCAUCGCCUCUGGAAUCGCCAUGCCUCCAUGGGAGAUCUAGCGUGAGCAUAAUUGUAUAUUUUUUCCAGUUCCUGUCACGCCCUCUCUCAGCGAUCAUCUGGUAAAUCAUGUACAGUAAAACCCGCUGCUGGACUUCAAUCUAAUAGAAAAGGGGAAAAAAUGCAGCGCCGAAAGCCAAAGAUAAAACCAAUUGCUUUUCGUUGUGCAUACUGCAAUUCUAUUUUGUAUGUCACCAAGAAAAUCACAAAGCAUGAGACAAACAAUCUAUUCCGAUUGUGUUUGUCACCAAGAAGAUCACAAAGCAUGAGAUAAACAAACGGCCAUCUCAUAUGGCUGCUCGCAAGAAUACUAUACCUACAGACUGAAACAGCAAGCAACAAGAAUGAGUAACUGCCCAUUCACCACUAAUUCAGUUCAUCACGUCGAACUGAGGAAAUCAACAGAGUUGUUGACCAAUUUCGUCGUGCAUACUGAAAUUCCGUUACUGUGCACACAAAAACGCUACAAGCACAAACACGAAUAGUUACUCUUCGGACAAAGUAAAACAGAGGAUAAAUACCACGGGACACCAAGCAAAAAUCAUUAACCCGUAACUGCCCGUUCACCAACUCCAUGACGUCAAACUCGAGGAGAUCAGUCAAAGUUUCAGAGAGUAGGCAUGAAUGCCCAGCUUUUUCAGAAAGCUUAAAGCAAUACAGAUCAAGAACGAGAAAAGAUAGACAGGCGAGAUCAAACUUGAUACAAUCAACACCGUUCAUGAUCAAUUUCACCACUAAUUUAGUCCAGCACGCCAAACUUAAGGAGAUCAACACGGCUUCAUGGCCAAUUUCACCACCAAAUCAGUUCAUCAUAUGCCAAACUUGAGGAAACUAAAAAGUUGCAGCGCCAAAAGCCAAAGAUAAAACCAUUUGCUGGGACUGAACUAAGGAUAGAAGAGUAAAAGUGCCAAUUUCUUGUGUGUAUUGCCUCUUGCUUUUUCUUCGUGCAUACUCUGUUUUUAACACCACGGAAUAUGUCAUGUCUUAUAUAGCUGUCCACAUAACAACGCCACAACCACAAACACAAACAGUUACUGUUACUGUUCUGACAAAGUAACACAGAAGAUCAACACCACGGAACAAGCAACACAUUCACCACAAAUCAAAUAAUCACGUCACACUUCAGGAAAUCAACAAGUUCUUGACCAUUUCUAAAAAAUAAGCUCAGGACCAGUUUCACUACCAAAUCAGUUCAUUACCUCAAACUAGAGGAAAUCAACAAAGUUUAAUCACGAAUUUUCACCAGCAAAGUAGUUCAUCAUACGCUUUUAUUCUUUUUGGAAAAUCGACAGAGUUAAGGAUCAACUUCUCCACCAAAAGUAGAGUUGAUAAUAUGAAGAAGUAAACACAUACUGUAGGAUAAAUACAAAACAUUCAGGAACCACCAAAACAAAGAAACGCCUAUCUCAUGUGUCUGUUCACGCAAGAACCCGUAAGCACAAACUGGAACAGAUGCUGUUCUUGCACGAAGUUAAACUCAAGGAUAACCACAAAGUAAUCACGGAAUAGCAAGCAAAAAUCAUCAACCCGUAACUGCCCGUUCACCAACUCCGUGACGUCAAACUCGAGGAAAUCAGUCAAAUUUUCAGAGAGGUUGCAUGAAUGCCCAGCUUUUUACAGAAAGCUUAAAGCAAUGCAGAUCAAGAACGAGGAAAGAUAAACAGGGGAAAAUAGCUGAAGACAAUCAAAGUAGUUCACCAGCUCCAUGUCGUCAAAAAUCGAGGAGAUCAAUCAAUUUUUUCAGAGAAUGCCCAGCUUUUUACAGAAAGUUUAAAGCAAUAAGUACAGAUGAAGAACGAGGAAAGAUAUAGAGGCAAGACUAGCUUAAGACAAUCAAAGCAGUUCAUCAGGCAAAACUUGAAAAGUUCUUGACCAAUUUCACCACCAAAUUAGUCCAGCACGCCAAAUUUAAGGAGAUCAACAUGUUUUCAUGACCAAUUUCAGCACCAAAUGAGUUCAUCAUAUGCCAAAUUUGAGGAAAUCAACAGAAUUUCAUGACCAAUUUCACCACCAAAUCAGUUCAUCAUAUGCCAAACUUGAGGAAACUAUCAGAGUUCGCGGCCAACUUCACCUACUCGAUGCAAGACGAUCAACGAAGCAAAACAAGGAAGAAAGACACCAAACAUGACCACAUAAACAGGGCAUCUCUCACACUCUCGCGCCGGCCAUCCUCCAUGAGCACUACCACAUCCACAAGGACUAC
This 12925-nucleotide long non-coding RNA is filed under the name Triticum aestivum (bread wheat). RNAcentral describes it as "long non-coding RNA (TAES_LNC014361)". Lineage: Eukaryota; Viridiplantae; Streptophyta; Magnoliopsida; Poales; Poaceae. The record is from RNAcentral.